CACGUGAGUACCCCAAAAUAGCACAAGAAACCAGACCCACGAAAUACAGCAGUGGUGGAAAAAGGAAAACCCCAGUGCAGGUCUCUGCUCGCCCUCAUUCUCUCCUAUGACAACUGCAAGUGGAGCAAGGAUCCAGAAGCUCUGAGUUUUUGACAUUACAGCUCUUAUUAUUCAAGAGCAAAGAAAGAACUUCUCUCUAGCUUUCAAGUACCAAGUUCCUUAAAAAGAAGAAGAAGGAGGAGGAAAAGGAGGAGGAGGAGAAGACAAUGACCUUGAUUAGUCCUAACUGGGCCACAUGUCCUCCCUUGGAUCAUACCUGGGGCAAAGGAAUUAGGCACCAAGACUGGCUGUUCCUCAUUCGUGUGUCUACUCUUUCCUCUGGAGUGAUGUUAACAUCAGCCCCACCAGAGUCAAUGUUGGAGACAGACAGCAAUGGAGGGAACACAAAGAAGGAACGUGGGAGAGAGAGAAGCAGGCUUCCUACUGAGCAGGCAGCCUGAUGGGAUCAUGACCUGAGCCGAAGGCAGACGCUUAAUGACUGAGCCAUGCAGGUGCCCUUCUUUUUGUUAAAUUUAGAUGUAACUACAUUUAUUGAGCAAAUGAUAAUAAUAGCUAUGGCAUAACUUAUCACAUUAACACAGCUAACAUCUAUUGAACACUUACUACCUUGCCUGGUAGGCACUGUGCUACAGACCAC
Mustela lutreola (European mink) is the source of this 697-nucleotide long non-coding RNA. RefSeq lists it as uncharacterized. The record is from RefSeq and is a predicted model, not a curated record. Lineage: Eukaryota; Metazoa; Chordata; Mammalia; Carnivora; Mustelidae. The transcript is spliced from 3 exons.